AAGUAAAAGGUUGGUAACAAGGGUUCCGUAGGUGGAACCUGGCGGAAGGAUCAUUA
RNAcentral lists this ribosomal RNA (56 nucleotides) under Phyllactinia obclavata. RNAcentral describes it as "partial 18S ribosomal RNA". Lineage: Eukaryota; Fungi; Ascomycota; Leotiomycetes; Helotiales; Erysiphaceae. The record is from RNAcentral.